UACGGGAGGCAGCAGUGGGGAAUAUUGCACAAUGGGGGAAACCCUGAUGCAGCGACGCAGCGUGCGGGAUGACGGCCUUCGGGUUGUAAACCGCUUUCAGCAGGGAAGAAGCGAAAGUGACGGUACCUGCAGAAGAAGUACCGGCUAACUACGUGCCAGCAGCCGCGGUAAUACGUAGGGUACGAGCGUUGUCCGGAAUUAUUGGGCGUAAAGAGCUCGUAGGUGGUUGGUCACGUCUGCUGUGGAAACGCAACGCUUAACGUUGCGCGGGCAGUGGGUACGGGCUGACUAGAGUGCAGUAGGGGAGUCUGGAAUUCCUGGUGUAGCGGUGAAAUGCGCAGAUAUCAGGAGGAACACCGGUGGCGAAGGCGGGACUCUGGGCUGUAACUGACACUGAGGAGCGAAAGCAUGGGGAGCGAACAGGGAUUAGAUACC
Molecule: ribosomal RNA, 435 nt
Filed under: uncultured bacterium
Lineage: Bacteria
Description: bacterial SSU rRNA
Rfam family: Bacterial small subunit ribosomal RNA
Source: RNAcentral